AUGGUGAUGCUUCAGCUUUCUGCUGUAGUCCUCCUUGCGCUCAUCGCCCCCUCCCUCGCCGGUGACGCCGACAUGCUCCAGGACGUCUGCGUCGCCGACUUGGCAUCCCGUGAGUCAUCAUCUUUCUCAAGUUCGUUGUUGCAUCUUUUGUGCGGGUUGUUGCUGAUGUGGUGUUUCGUCAAAAUGAAUGGCGGCAGCGAUCAAGCUGAAUGGGUUCCCAUGCAAGGCGGACAUCACGGCAGACGACUUCUUCUUUGCCGGACUCAAG
RNAcentral lists this ribosomal RNA (268 nucleotides) under Triticum aestivum (bread wheat). RNAcentral's name for it is "partial small subunit ribosomal RNA". The record is from RNAcentral. Lineage: Eukaryota; Viridiplantae; Streptophyta; Magnoliopsida; Poales; Poaceae.